Molecule: microRNA precursor, 87 nt
Organism: Papio anubis (olive baboon)
Lineage: Eukaryota; Metazoa; Chordata; Mammalia; Primates; Cercopithecidae
Source: Ensembl
UGAGGGCCCCUCUGCGUGUUCACAGCGGACCUUGAUUUAAUGUCUAUACAAUUAAGGCACGCGGUGAAUGCCAAGAGAGGCGCCUCC